This 201-nucleotide unclassified non-coding RNA is filed under the name Hevea brasiliensis (rubber tree). Lineage: Eukaryota; Viridiplantae; Streptophyta; Magnoliopsida; Malpighiales; Euphorbiaceae. The record is from RNAcentral.
CAUUAAUCUUAAAUGGUCAAAUCCUAACACAGUAUUACAAAGAUCAAAGGGACUACACAUUGUUUCAAACAACUCUCCCCUACAACAAAAUAACCCAGCCCUAAACCCAAAAUUACAUACAAGGGCAGAAGAGUUAAGGCACUGAAAUUGGCUUUGAGAAAAGGAGAGAGGGCUUAAGCCUUCUUGGGGGACUUGGUGGCC